This 253-nucleotide ribosomal RNA is filed under the name uncultured bacterium. Its description in RNAcentral is "partial 16S ribosomal RNA". It matches the Rfam family "Bacterial small subunit ribosomal RNA", at positions 524 to 776 of the family's 1533-position model. The record is from RNAcentral.
UACAGAGGGUGCGAGCGUUAAUCGGAAUUACUGGGCGUAAAGGGUGCGCAGGCGGCGUCGCAAGUCAGGCGUGAAAUCCCCGGGCUUAACCUGGGAACUGCAGUCGAGACUGUCUAGCUAGAGUAUGGGAGAGGGAAGUGGAAUUUCAGGUGUAGCGGUGAAAUGCGUAGAUAUCUGAAGGAACAUCAGUGGCGAAAGCGACUUCCUGGACCAAUACUGACGCUCAUGUGCGAAAGCGUGGGGAGCAAACAGG